RNAcentral lists this long non-coding RNA (246 nucleotides) under Brassica napus (rape). RNAcentral's name for it is "long non-coding RNA (BNAP_LNC011001)". Lineage: Eukaryota; Viridiplantae; Streptophyta; Magnoliopsida; Brassicales; Brassicaceae. The record is from RNAcentral.
AGUCAUUGACAAUAGAUAUCGGGUUUACUCGAACAGAACUUUAGUGGAAACCGAGACAACAUCUAUCGCACAGUUUCAUUUUCUCACAAAAUUAGGUUCUCUAUUGUAUUCAUUGUGGCCAUGAACUAUUCUUGGUCUUCAUUAGUGAACUUAGAGAAUAUAGCCUUACAUUCAUUCUCCUAGAAACGGUCUCAUUUCACACUCAUUAAGUGAUUGACCAUGAAAAGUAUUGAGUAAUACUCCGCU